GCCAGUGUGGCAUAAUGAUCUGAGUGUUGGACUAGGACUCUGGAGAUCAGGGUUCGAAUCCCGGCUUGGCCA
Molecule: transfer RNA, 72 nt
Filed under: Phrynosoma platyrhinos (Desert horned lizard)
Lineage: Eukaryota; Metazoa; Chordata; Lepidosauria; Squamata; Phrynosomatidae
Description: tRNA-OTHER
Source: RNAcentral